Non-coding RNA from Phrynosoma platyrhinos (Desert horned lizard), 72 nucleotides. NCBI's taxonomy places the organism in Eukaryota, Metazoa, Chordata, Lepidosauria, Squamata, Phrynosomatidae. The record is from the annotation of a GenBank genome assembly.
GAUAGGGUGGCACAGUGGUUUGUGUACUGAACUACAACUCCGGACUCCAGGGUUCAAAUUCCGACUUGGCCA